Molecule: ribosomal RNA, 468 nt
Filed under: uncultured bacterium
Lineage: Bacteria
Description: partial 16S ribosomal RNA
Rfam family: Bacterial small subunit ribosomal RNA
Source: RNAcentral
GACGAACGCUGGCGGCGUGCUUAACACAUGCAAGUCGAACGGAAAGGCCCUGCUUUUGUGGGGUGCUCGAGUGGCGAACGGGUGAGUAACACGUGAGUAACCUGCCCUUGACUUUGGGAUAACUUCAGGAAACUGGGGCUAAUACCGGAUAGGAGCUCCUGCUGCAUGGUGGGGGUUGGAAAGUUUCGGCGGUUGGGGAUGGACUCGCGGCUUAUCAGCUUGUUGGUGGGGUAGUGGCUUACCAAGGCUUUGACGGGUAGCCGGCCUGAGAGGGUGACCGGCAACAUUGGGACUGAGAUACGGCCCAGCCUGCUACGGGAGGGAGCAGUGGGGAAUAUUGCACAAUGGGCGGAAGCCUGAUGCAGCAACGCCGCGUGCGGGAUGACGGCCUUCGGGUUGUAAACCGCUUUCGCCUGUGACGAAGCGUGAGUGACGGUAAUGGGUAAAGAAGCACCGGCUAACUACGUG